Long non-coding RNA from Bombus pascuorum, 1568 nucleotides. RefSeq lists it as uncharacterized. The transcript is spliced from 2 exons. The record is from RefSeq and is a predicted model, not a curated record. NCBI's taxonomy places the organism in Eukaryota, Metazoa, Arthropoda, Insecta, Hymenoptera, Apidae.
ACUUGCUCCAGUUUGCACUUCAAUGUAUUUCGUCUGUUACAGAUUCACAUCUCGGCGCAUGCGUAUUAAUGAUGCGCACACAUCUUUUUCAAAUCGUCCACAGGUUGGCGCCUUCAGUCUGUACCAAAUCACGUACAAGCAUUUUUCGUCUUAAGAUUUGUCUUCGUUUUCUUUUGUUUCAGUGGAUUUCAGUGGAUUUCAAUGCAUUCAUAAAGGUAACUAAAAUGAAUUGUUAGCUGUUUUUUACUUUUGUAUUUUAAUUAGGUAGCAAAUAUUGUUUGUUUGAACGUUUUAAUUCAGAUUUCUUAAAAAUGAAUUACCGACAUUGUAUGAAUCUUGUUCGUCAGGUAGCGCACUCUGUACUAGAAUGCAGUAGAAGUCAGAUGCACCCUUGCAAUUCUUUUGGAAUACUAUUCACAGAACAUCAUUAUGAAAUGGUAUUUUAUAGAAAUUUUUUAUUAGUAUAAUUACAAUAGAGAUAUUUUUCAUGAUAUCUAAGAAUUCAAUAUAUUCGAUACAUCCUAUCUUCUAUGUAAAAUGAUGUGUACUGUAUCAUGAUUUUGUAUAUGUUUUGUAGUCACUUUGACAUAAUUUUUCUCAAUACGUAUAAUCUUUUAUCAGACGCAAUGUUUACCAAAUGCAAUUUUGUAGGAAGUAUUUUUCAUUGAUUUACUUGUAAGCUGUUUUAUAUAAUUAAAUUAAUCGUAGAUGUUUGAACAUUUUUGUUAUUAUAUAUAAUAUUUAUCAUCUAAGCUUUCUUACUUUUGCAAAUUUAUAAAAAAGAGAAUAUUUUUUAUAUAUACUUAACAGUUCAUAUAUUAUUCAUCAAGUACGAUCAAUAGGUACUGCCAGGAAAGGAAUUGAACACUCAAAGACAACCUACUUAACGCUAUGCUCGUAAGAGGUUAAUUAAAAGCGAAGCGUAACAAUCGAUAGGCAAGAAAGGGUAAGAGCAUCGACAUCACUCCACGCAGCACUCAUAAAAGAAUAAUGGUCGCGUGUCUAGAAAACAUCGUAAUUAUGUCAAAGGAGUAACUGCGGAAGUGUAAAGUACUCCGGGCAUGUUGCAGUGAAAAUUACGCUUGAAACGGAGAUGUAUGUUCUUCACAAAAGUAGCAUCCGUAGUGUAACAGCCCUCCUAGGAAGGAUCGACUUGCGACCGCACAAUAUCCCACGUAUAUACGAUUAUCGAUCAAGGAUACGUAAACAGCCGUGGUAUAGUUGCGCACACGCGGCGACCAGGCCACUUAGCGUAUGUUUGUUUAGUACCUUUUACGACUAUAUUGUCCGGGCAUGUGUUAGAUUACGGAGCAGCCAGUGUCUGGCGCAUAGUUGAGGGUUGGGUGGUACGGCGCCGUGCUUCGAGAGGGUCAUUUAUAACUGUUAUCGUGAGACUUACUAGCCCACUUACUACCUCCACUGUGUCUAUUCUCCACCCACUCUUCUAUUCUACUGGAAGAAACGUAAGCGCGAGAUGCGCCAGUCCACCGAACCUGCUGGUCAUUCUAGCACGGUUUUUUAUUCGGUCAUCUUGUAUCACGCCAGAGAAUAAAAUCUUUGAGUAACGA